RNAcentral lists this ribosomal RNA (466 nucleotides) under uncultured bacterium. RNAcentral describes it as "partial 16S ribosomal RNA". It matches the Rfam family "Bacterial small subunit ribosomal RNA", at positions 28 to 506 of the family's 1533-position model. The record is from RNAcentral.
GACGAACGCUGGCGGCGUGCUUAACACAUGCAAGUCGAACGGAAAGGCCCUGCUUUUGUGGGUGCUCGAGUGGCGAACGGGUGAGUAACACGUGAGUAACCUGCCCUUGACUUUGGGAUAACUUCAGGAAACUGGGGCUAAUACCGGAUAGGAGCUCCUGCUGCAUGGUGGGGGUUGGAAAGUUUCGGCGGUUGGGGAUGGACUCGCGGCUUAUCAGCUUGUUGGUGGGGUAGUGGCUUACCAAGGCUUUGACGGGUAGCCGGCCUGAGAGGGUGACCGGCCACAUUGGGACUGAGAUACGGCCCAGACUCCUACGGGAGGCAGCAGUGGGGAAUAUUGCACAAUGGGCGGAAGCCUGAUGCAGCAACGCCGCGUGCGGGAUGACGGCCUUCGGGUUGUAAACCGCUUUCGCCUGUGACGAAGCGUGAGGGACGGGAAUGGGUAAAGAAGCACCGGCUAACUACGU